GAAAAGGAUAAGAAGAAGUAGAAAGAGUAGGUAUGAGAGAUAGAGAUAUCAGAAAGAAAAGAAAGAAAAGGGAAGAGUAGAGAAGAGGAGAAGGGAGAAAGGAAGAAGAAAGGAGAAAGAUGAGGAAACCACCACCACCAUCAUCAUGUCAUCUUCACUAUCAUCUUCACCAAACUUCAUCUUCUUCUUCUACUAGGUGAGUUCUUAGAUAGAUUUAGCCUUUGAUUUCAUGCAAUUCAGCUUGAAAGAAAGUGUAAGUUCCAAUAUUAACUAAGAAAGUUCACAAGAAUAUUCCUAAAUUAUUCCUAAAUAUAUAUCACCGCAAGUUGAUAUUCUAUGAUUUUCUCUUGAAGUUUCAUACGUGUUGCACUUAAUUCAAUUAUGAUUAGGAAAUAAUCAACUAACUUGGAUGAUUUUUUAGGUGUGGGAGAAGAUCAACAUUUGAUAUAAAAGCAUUUAAUAAUUGUAAGUUCAUGAAUUGAAGAAUACAUGUGGCCCUUAAAAGAAGAUGUCAUAUAUGUCAAUUGUUUAAUAUGAAUAAUGUCUCUAUCAAAGUUCAUUGUACCAUUUUGAAACCUAAUAUUAUUUCUUAUGUGUCAAGUUUUUUAAAAAAUUAUUAUGAUGAGUCAUGAUGAAAUGAUGGAUUUGAAAACUCCAACUUCUACUAGUAAGUUUGAAU
Molecule: long non-coding RNA, 679 nt
Filed under: Lathyrus oleraceus (garden pea)
Lineage: Eukaryota; Viridiplantae; Streptophyta; Magnoliopsida; Fabales; Fabaceae
Description: Pisum sativum (pea) long non-coding RNA (PSAT_LNC038401)
Source: RNAcentral